This 253-nucleotide ribosomal RNA is filed under the name uncultured bacterium. RNAcentral describes it as "partial 16S ribosomal RNA". It matches the Rfam family "Bacterial small subunit ribosomal RNA", at positions 524 to 776 of the family's 1533-position model. The record is from RNAcentral.
UACAGAGGGGGCAAGCGUUGUUCGGAAUUACUGGGCGUAAAGGGCUCGUAGGCGGCCAACUAAGUCGGAUGUGAAAUCCCCAGGCUUAACCUGGGAACUGCAUCCGAUACUGGAUGGCUUGAAUCCGGGAGAGGGAUGCGGAAUUCCAGGUGUAGCGGUGAAAUGCGUAGAUAUCAGGAGGAACACCGAUGGCGAAGGCAGGUCUCUGGGCUGACACUGACGCUGAGGCGCGAAAGCUAGGGGAGCGAACGGG